This 491-nucleotide long non-coding RNA is filed under the name Cyanistes caeruleus (blue tit). Its description in RNAcentral is "lncRNA (ENSCCEG00000013001.1)". Lineage: Eukaryota; Metazoa; Chordata; Aves; Passeriformes; Paridae. The record is from RNAcentral.
CUUAAAUGGUUUUUCAUAUCUGUAGGAAUUAUUACUCUGUUUAGAAGCUGGAAGAUAGGUAGAUAAUAGUGCUAUUGUGUAAGCAUGUAAAGUUUUUGUGUCAUUUCUAUUCCUGCUUCUCUACAACCAGAAAUUGAUUAUUAAUACUGCACAGGGAAGAGCCUCUGAACGUAUAGAUCUACCCCAUCUGAUAUGGAGACCUUAAAACUGGAAUUUUCAAACCCCAGCUGAUUAGCAUCAGGAGAGCUGCCAAAAUGAGCUGACACAAGUGCAGCACUGUCUUCUCCCUACAUAUGUCUUGGAUCAUGAGGCAUAGCAGCAUUUGAGCUUCAGAAUGGUGCUUGAAGAGCAUGCUUCAUGGGGAUAUGAGCAUGGAGUUCAAGGCAAGCUCCUGUUGUACAUCCGUGAAGGUCCAUUGACAAAUUCAUCAAUGUCAUCUUGAUAUCAAGGAUAUUCUGGGGCCUCUACUGGUCAGUGCUGUUCUGCCAAUG